CUAGAUAGUUUUAAGGGCCUUUUCCUCAUAGCUGGUGUAUCAGCUGGCUCCGCUCUUCUCAUAUUCUUCCUCAUCUUCCUUUAUCAGAAUAGAGAAAUCUUAGACACUGAUGAUUCAAUAUGGCAAAAACUUUCUACAAUAGCUAAAGUCUUUGAUGAAAAGAAAGAUAACUCUAAUUCUAAGUCAGAAAUGCCAGAAGGCAAUGAGAGCCAAACGGCUACACCUUUUGCAGCAAGUGCAGCUUCCCCUGAAAUAUUGCUCCAUCUUGCUUCGCAAUGCCCAGAAAUCAGAAUUUCCGACAGCCUAGGAGCAUCCCAUGCAGAAGAAGGGUUUUCUACACCAGAACCUGGAACUCCAGUUCAUGAAACCCUUAUAUUGACAAAUGAAGAGAGAUGAUACAUAUAGCUGCUACUAAAAUAAUCAACACAACUGAAUAGGGCUCUACAAGAGAUUGUAAAGAGAUGACCUAGCUUUAGGGUUAGUUAAACCAUAUUACAUUAUAACCUUGUCCCUCUUGGCCAUAAUAGUUGUAUCAAGAGGCAGUUCCAGAAUUUAGAUAUGAUAGGUUCAACAUUUAAGUUCUUACUAUUGAAUUCAUUGCACUUUUGUAAUUACAGAUUCGUAAUUAAAAUUUGUUGAAAUUCUACUACUUUUCCACUUUGUAUACGAUCAAAAUCGGAGAGCUCGAUUUCGAAAUAUUGAUCAUACCCCGAGCUCGAGUUUCGAAGCUCGAAGUAAGAAUCAAGCCUGGAUUGGAUGUGCCCACCUCGAGAAGCAAGUCGGAGACCUGUCAUGAUCUGCAUCGAGGGCAGGACAAAUUUGACGGCGCUCAAGAAAGAACGGGAAUUCCCCAAAGAACACGUGGGUCAGGGUAUAAAGCAAGGGAUAAGAUUUGUACGAAAUAAUACAAAUCCAUACUAGGUUGUAAUACAAAUCCAUACUAGGUUGUUAUACAGUUGUACCAAUAGAAUUCUUUGCCACAAUUAGAAAUAUACCACAUUAGGAUUUUCCCCUUCUAUAUAAAAUGGACCCCAAUCUUUGUAAAACACAUCUAAUUUCAUUCAUUGCAAUAUAAUAUUCUACUUUGCUUUUCUUGUUUACCGUGCUCAGUAAUUAUUCUUCAGCUUUAUUGUUCAUACUUUAUCGCACUUAGCUCACCUCGAGCCCCCUGAGAUAAUCAAGCUCGAGGUCCUUAUUACUCUAACAACACUGGUUUGGCUCAUCAAUUCUUUUUACUUAAACUUAAUAUUAUUCACACAUUCACUCGUAUUGGAAUAAAUCACAUAUCUUUAAAACUAAAAAAUCAUAUUUAAUUUUUACUCAUAUUUUUCGAGAUAAACACACAUAUUUAUGUUCCAUGUCGAAAUUACUGGGUUCAGAAGUUGAACCCAAUAAAUAAGGAAGCAUCUGCCUCUGUUUUCAUCAAGGUUUUCGGGUGGGCAAACGAAAGAUUUCGGAGGAAUAGGAACAGAACAGCACUUAUCAGUACUUACGGACCACUUUCAGACGCCACAAGCGUAACUGAAACAAUCUAACAAAAUUACGAAUUUGCUAACCGAGAAACAAAUGGAAGUUUUAGGGUAAAAUCCACAGAGAAAAAAGAUGCCAACUUUAGCUCAAAAGUUGCUUGCAAUGCAAAAACAUAUUAAACUACAAAUGAUACAGACUGAUGUAGAAGAAAAAAACAGCAAAAUCUAAGUUGAACUGGUUAAUGAAAAACUUGAUCAAUGACGUAAAAAGGAUCAGAAUAUGUUACUUUAGAACUUUGAAAGAGAAAAUGGGACCUGGAAUAUUUGAGAAGGGAACCAAUUAUCUCCUCUGCAUUCCCAUCAGUGUUUAUGUUACAAUUCUGCAGUAAGAUGUGUCGAUAUCCCCUCCCAUGGCGGCAGAUUCAGUCAAGUAGGAAGCGGAACUGACGGCAUAGUGAUGAAGAAACAGUAGGAGAUUUCCCCCGCUGUUAGUUGACGGUAACGGAGAGAG
RNAcentral lists this long non-coding RNA (1980 nucleotides) under Nicotiana benthamiana. RNAcentral's name for it is "long non-coding RNA (NBEN_LNC026755)". Lineage: Eukaryota; Viridiplantae; Streptophyta; Magnoliopsida; Solanales; Solanaceae. The record is from RNAcentral.